AAAAAAAAAAAAUUAUAAACAUUGUAGUUAAUUUUUUUUUUGUUUUAUUCUACUAUUGAAAUUAACGCACAUAAACUUACAAUUUAUGUUUUUAUUUCAGUGAUUUUUUUGUAUAAACCAUUUUACGACUAUUCUUUUAUUUUAUUUUACCCUUUUUAUUUAUAUUUUUGUUGCUUCAUUUUCUUUUAUUUAAUUUUUUUAGUACAUUUUGUCGUUUGUUGAUUUUAUUUUUCCUAUUUUGCUUAUUCUGCUUAUUUUACUUAUUUUUCUUAUUUUACUUGUGUUGCUUAUUGUACUUGUACUUAUUUUUCUUAUUUUACUUAUUUUAUUAUUAUAUUACUUCCUUUUAUUCCGCUUCGUUUUGCUUUGCUUUGCUUUUUUAUUUAUUUUUUUUAUUUUUUCUCACAAUAACACGUUUUUGUUCUCUUAUUGACUUAUGACUAUUAAGAGGACUUACGAAUGUUUAUACACUCAUCAGAAAACGCAGAAAAGAAAAAAAUGGAAAGAUGGAUAUUGUGAAAUAACAAUUAGUGAUUGUAUAACAAAAAUAAACCUAUUGAACGACAAUAAAGUUAACAUUGAAAACUCCAUUAGUAAUAUAGUAGACUUUCAAAACCUUGAAGAUGAAAUAGAAACAUCUAAACACUUGAUUCAGUUUUUUGAUCUUAGUAAUUAUGUUGAAAGCGAGAUUAAAAAUGAACUGACAAAGAAAAGAACACAUGUUACGUUACAGAAAAGCGAAAAUGUAAAUACAUUACAAAAUAAAAAAAUAAAAAGGGAGGCUUGCGAGCUUAAUUCAAAAGAAGAAAAUAGUUAUACAGAAAAUGGUCACACAAACAGUGAGGAGUUAGGAGACCAAACAAAUGACAAUCUAAUUACCAUUAAAAAAAUAGAUAAAUAUAUUAGUGUAAAUAAAAAAUAUAAUGCACCAAGAAAGAUUGAAUCGAAAGUAAAUGAUAAUAAAAUGAAGAGAGAGGACAGUAUGAGAAAAGUAAAUAAUACAACAUUAGUAAAUGAAUUUGAAAAUGGAAGUUUUAAUAUUAAUGAAAAGUUACAAAAAAUAAAUGAUAAUAAAGGACCAGAAUGUACAAUAAACAAAAUUAAAGAUAAAAAUAACACACAACAAUAUAUAGAAAAUGAAGAAAAGAUGUACAGUGUAACAUAUACAAAUAUUUUUCUAUUUAAUAAAAAAAACGUUAAGUGGUUUGAUGGGUACGUUAUUGAUAAAAAAAAUGUGUUAGAACUACGUAAUAUUUCACAAGAAAAAUUAUUUAUAAAAAAAAAAGACUCAAAAAUAUACGAUGAAGAAUAUUUAUCCUUUGGGAAUUAUAUGGUUUAUAACAAUUUCUUAAGUAAUAAUAAUGAUAAUAAUAAUGAGGACGUGGAUACGUAUGUAGCUUUGAAAAAGGGAUACGGUACUGCAAAUAAUAAUGAACUAUUGCAUAAGGAUAUUUAUGGUACAUCAAAAGUUAAUAUAUACAAUAAAAAAAAUGUUAGGAGUGCAAAUAAUUCGGAUAUGCGGACAAAUAACUUUAUAAAAAGUGGUAAUAAUAAUAAUAAUAAUAAUAAUAACAAUAAUCCAAUGAAAGUAAAUAUUAUGGGACUAUAUCAAAAAAAAAAAAAUGUCGAUAUUUAUAAUGAAGAGUGUAAAGAUAAUAAUUACCUUACAAAAAAAAAACAAAACUUAAAUAAUAAUAAACGUUUUUAUACAAAUCAACAGGUUGUAAGAGAAGAAGAGUUAUUUAAAUUUAAAAAAAAUACAUUAACACAUAUGAAAAACGACAAGGAAUUAAAUUUUUUUUUUUGCCAAGAUUGUGAUAGCAGUUAUAAUGUUUUUUUUUCGUAUGGAAGUGAUGAUACUGAUAACAGUGAAAAGUUUGAAGAAAUAAUUAAUAUCGGCAAAGUUGUAAGUAAAAAUCCAUUUUUAUAUAUGAGCGUUUUUAAUAAUGCUAUCCUCAAGAAUAUAGCGGAUGAAUCACAAAAAAAGUUCAAAGGAGAAAAUGAUUUUGAAGAAAAAGACAAAUCAAAGGGGGUAGAAGAGUUAGAAAAUUUACAUCGCAGUUUGGAGCAUAACGCAUUUGCUAAUAAGGGUAAUAAUGACACUAGCAUUAUCGAUAACAACAGUAAUAGCAACGGUAACAGUAAUAGCAACGGUAACAGUAAUAGCAACGGUAACAGUAAUAGCAACGGUAACAGUAAUAGCAACGGUAACAGUUAUAGCAACGGUAACAGUAAUAGCAACGGUAACUGUAAUAGCAACGGUAACAGUAAUAGCAACGGCAACAGUAGUAGCAACGGUAACAGUAGUAGCAACAGUAACAGUAGUAGCAACAGUAACAGUAGUAGCAACGGCAACAGUAGUAGCAACGGUAACAGUAGUAGAAACAGUAACAACAACAGCAAUUGUAACAUAGACAGCAACAACUACAACAAAAAAGUUGAUGAAAACAAAAAUGCAGAGCAACAUGUGGACAAAAAGAAAGAAUAUGUUAACACCCAAUUUGUUAGAGUUACUACUGAUGAUAGCUAUUCGAGCACAACUUGUAAAAAAAACGAUCAUACUAUAAAGGCCUGCUUCAAUAACUUAGAGCAUACAAAUAUUUGUUCAAAGGGUAUCGAAAAAAUAGUAGAAAAGAACGAAAAGUCAAAGUUGUUACAUAAUAAUAUAAUAAUUGAAAAAGAAAAAGCAGAUAAAAAUAUUUAUUGCGAUU
Molecule: long non-coding RNA, 2711 nt
Filed under: Piliocolobus tephrosceles (Ugandan red Colobus)
Lineage: Eukaryota; Metazoa; Chordata; Mammalia; Primates; Cercopithecidae
Description: lncRNA (ENSPTEG00000010936.1)
Source: RNAcentral